Molecule: long non-coding RNA, 536 nt
Organism: Myotis brandtii (Brandt's bat)
Lineage: Eukaryota; Metazoa; Chordata; Mammalia; Chiroptera; Vespertilionidae
Exons: 2
Source: RefSeq, a predicted model, not a curated record
GGUGUUUAAGCCCGAUGGACAGCAAGAAGUGACCUCCAUGACCACAUGCCACCUCCCUCUGGGGGGCCCGAGGCCAUGGGACCAGGCAUCAUUUCCGCCAGCCUCCGUGUCCUCAUCUGCGGAGUGGGGCGAAGCCUCUCCCCGUGGGCAGCUGCCGGCUGGGAUGAGGUCAUGGGCAGACCAGCGAGGAAUGCAGUGAGUCCCUUCCUAGGAAGUCGGCCCCUGAGUCACCUGGAACAGACUGUGCUUCCUGCGGCGAGAGCGGCACUCAGAUCGCUGCGCGGCCCUUACAUCUCUGUCCUAAGAGCUCGUGUCAAAGGACAGCGCCUGCGACCAUGUCAAGUGGCCGCAACCGUGCGCAGGACACGCAUAUCUGAGGGAAGAAGCCGCGAUUGCCGCCGAGGGCCUGCCGCCCGGAUUGCUGUGUUCAUUCUCUUCUCCAUCCUCUGCCGCCCGGUGAUAACGCUCUAAGACGAGCAUGCGUUACUCUUACGAUAAUCUGAUGAAAAAGCAGCAUUAAAAAAAGAAAGACAAAG